This 461-nucleotide ribosomal RNA is filed under the name uncultured archaeon. Its description in RNAcentral is "bacterial SSU rRNA". It matches the Rfam family "Archaeal small subunit ribosomal RNA", at positions 538 to 997 of the family's 1478-position model. The record is from RNAcentral.
UCUCUGGUGAAAUCCUAUAGCUUAACUGUGGGAAUUGCUGGAGAUACUAUUAGACUUGAGAUCGGGAGAGGUCAGAGGUACUCCGUGGGGUAGGGUGAAAUCCUGUAAUCCUAGGUGGACCACCUGUGGCGAAGGCGUCUGACUAGAACGAAUCUGACGGUGAGGAACGAAAGCUAGGGGCGCGAACCGGAUUAGAUACCCGGGUAGUCCUAGCCGUAAACUAUGCGGACUUGGUGUGAGGGUGGCUUUGAGCCGUCCUGGUGCCGAAGGGAAGCUGUUAAGUCCGCCGCCUGGGAAGUACGGUCGCAAGGCUGAAACUUAAAGGAAUUGGCGGGGGAGCACCACAACGCGUGGAGCCCUGCGGUUUAAUUGGAUUCAACGCCGGAGAUCUCACCAGCGGCGACAGCAGUAUGAUGACCAGGUUGAUGACUUUGUUUGACAAGCUGAGGGGUGGUGCAUGG